AGGCAGCAGUGGGGAAUAUUGCACAAUGGGGGAAACCCUGAUGCAGCCAUGCCGCGUCGUGUGUAAGAAGGACCUUCGGGGUUCGUAAAAGCAACUUUCAGUAGGGAGGAAGGUAGUGUAGUUAACACCUGCAUUAUUUGACGUUACCUACAGAAGAAGCACCGGCUAACUCCGUGCCAGCAGCCGCGGUAAUACGGAGGGUGCGAGCGUUAAUCGGAAUUACUGGGCGUAAAGCGCAUGCAGGCGGCCUGUUAAGUCAGAUGUGAAAGCCCGGGGCUUAACCUCGGAAUUGCAUUUGAAACUGGCAGGCUUAGAGUCUUGUAGAGGGGGGUAGGAAUUUCAGGUGUAGCGGUGAAAUGCGUAGAGAUCUGAAGGAAUACCAGUGGCGAAGGCGGCCCCCCUGGACAAAGACUGACGCUCAGAUGCGAAAGCGUGGGGAGCAAACAGGAUUAGAUACCCCUGGUAG
This 466-nucleotide ribosomal RNA is filed under the name uncultured bacterium. RNAcentral's name for it is "bacterial SSU rRNA". It matches the Rfam family "Bacterial small subunit ribosomal RNA", at positions 346 to 793 of the family's 1533-position model. The record is from RNAcentral.